GACCUUCUGAAAGUGUCCAUCACUAUUUUACAAGCCUGGCAAGAGCCUCUGAAACACAUAGUGGCAGCAGUGGCUACUCUUCCAGAUGGAUCUGAUACCCUGCUGUCAAGAACAAAGGAGUUGGAGGAAAGAAUUCAAGGACUUCUGGAGGGACUGGAGACCAUACUCAGCAGGGUAAACUCACUCACUCUUCAUAUUCCUGUCCUUAUCUCCUGUGUUGAAGAGGUGAUUUGUUUAAGAGGUGAAAUAUUCAAUAUUCCAUUUCUGAGAUAGAAAUAUAAUUUAAGUAAACAAACAAAUAAAUGAUAUAAUUAUAUAAAAUAACAAAAUAACACAUAUUA
RNAcentral lists this long non-coding RNA (341 nucleotides) under Rattus norvegicus (Norway rat). RNAcentral's name for it is "long non-coding RNA NONRATT012961". Lineage: Eukaryota; Metazoa; Chordata; Mammalia; Rodentia; Muridae. The record is from RNAcentral.